CCUAAUACAUGCAAGUCGAACGAAACUUCUUUAUCACCGAGUGCUUGCACUCACCGAUAAAGAGUUGAGUGGCGAACGGGUGAGUAACACGUGGGCAACCCGCCCAAAAGAGGGGGACAACACUUGGAAACAGGUGCUAAUACCGCAUAACCAUAGUUACCGCAUGGUAACUAUGUAAAAGGUGGCUAUGCUACCGCUUUUGGAUGGGCCCGCGGCGCAUUAGCUAGUUGGUGGGGUAAAGGCUUACCAAGGCAAUGAUGCGUAGCCGAACUGAGAGGUUGAUCGGCCACAUUGGGACUGAGACACGGCCCAAACUCCUACGGGAGGCAGCAGUAGGGAAUCUUCCACAAUGGGCGAAAGCCUGAUGGAGCAACGCCGCGUGGGUGAAGAAGGUCUUCGGAUCGUAAAACCCUGUUGUUAGAGAAGAAAGUGCGUGAGAGUAACUGUUCACGUUUCGACGGUAUCUAACCAGAAAGCCACGGCUAACUACGUGCCAGCAGCCGCGGU
This 507-nucleotide ribosomal RNA is filed under the name uncultured bacterium. RNAcentral describes it as "bacterial SSU rRNA". It matches the Rfam family "Bacterial small subunit ribosomal RNA", at positions 47 to 521 of the family's 1533-position model. The record is from RNAcentral.